UUGGUGUGGUUGUUGCUGGCCCUCUUGGGGGUAUGUGCACACCCACCAUUCUCAUCUUUCCACCUGUGCAYCUUUUGUAGACUUGGAUAAAACUUUCCGAGGCCACUCGGGUGGGGGAACUGCUGUGCUUAUUAAAGCCAGCUUUUCUUGCAUUUUCCAGGCCUAUGUUUUUCAUAUACCAUUAGUCUGUAACAGAAUGUAUCAUUUGGCCCUUGUGCCUAUAAGCCUUAUACAACUUUCAGCAACGGAUCUCUUGGCUCUCGCAUCGAUGAAGAACGCAGCGAAAUGCGAUAAGUAAUGUGAAUUGCAGAAUUCAGUGAAUCAUCGAAUCUUUGAACGCACCUUGCGCUCCUUGGUAUUCCGAGGAGCAUGCCUGUUUGAGUGUCAUUAAAUUCUCAACCUUAUUAGCUUUUGCUAAUGAUGGCUUGGAUGUGGGGGUUUUUUUUGCUGGCUUCGUCAUAGAGGUCAGCUCCCCUUAAAUGCAUUAGCCGGUGCCCCGCGUGGACUCGUCUAUUGGUGUGAUAAUUAUCUACGCCGUGGAUGUCUGCAAUUAUAUGGGUUUGUACUGCUUCUAACUGUCUGUUUAUUCAGACAAUACAUGACGAUUUGCGCUCGAAU
This 618-nucleotide ribosomal RNA is filed under the name Hebeloma submelinoides. RNAcentral describes it as "eukaryotic LSU rRNA". The stretch from base 234 to 387 matches the Rfam family "5.8S ribosomal RNA". Lineage: Eukaryota; Fungi; Basidiomycota; Agaricomycetes; Agaricales; Hymenogastraceae. The record is from RNAcentral.